UGCAGUCGANCGGAAAGGNCCUGCUUUUGUGGGGUGCUCGAGUGGCGAACGGGUGAGUAACACGUGAGUAACCUGCCCUUGACUUUGGGAUAACUUCAGGAAACUGGGGCUAAUACCGGAUAGGAGCUCCUGCUGCAUGGUGGGGGUUGGAAAGUUUCGGCGGUUGGGGAUGGACUCGCGGCUUAUCAGCUUGUUGGUGGGGUAGUGGCUUACCAAGGCUUUGACGGGUAGCCGGCCUGAGAGGGUGACCGGCCACAUUGGGACUGAGAUACGGCCCAGACUCCUACGGGAGGCAGCAGUGGGGAAUAUUGCACAAUGGGCGGAAGCCUGAUGCAGCAACGCCGCGUGCGGGAUGACGGCCUUCGGGUUGUAAACCGCUUUCGCCUGUGACGAAGCGUGAGUGACGGUAAUGGGUAAAGAAGCACCGGCUAACUACGUGCCAGCAGCCGCGGUGAUACGUAGGGUGCGAGCGUUGUCCGGAUUUAUUGGGCGUAAAGGGCUCGUAGGUGGUUGAUCGCGUCGGAAGUGUAAUCUUGGGGCUUAACCCUGAGCGUGCUUUCGAUACGGGUUGACUUGAGGAAGGUAGGGGAGAAUGGAAUUCCUGGUGGAGCGGUGGAAUGCGCAGAUAUCAGGAGGAACACCAGUGGCGAGGGCGGUUCUCUGGGCCUUUCCUGACGCUGANGAGCGAAAGCGUGGGGAGCGAACAGGCUUAGAUACCCUGGUAGUCCACGCUGUAAACGGUGGGUACUAGGUGUGGGGUCCAUUCCACGGGUUCCGUGCCGUANCUAACGCUUUAAGUACCCCGCCUGGGGAGUANNNCCGCANGGCUAAAACUCAAAGNAAUUGACGGGNCCCCGCACAAGCGGCGGANCAUGNNNAUUNAUUCNAUGCNACNCGUANAANCUUACCU
RNAcentral lists this ribosomal RNA (910 nucleotides) under uncultured bacterium. Its description in RNAcentral is "partial 16S small subunit ribosomal RNA". It matches the Rfam family "Bacterial small subunit ribosomal RNA", at positions 56 to 976 of the family's 1533-position model. The record is from RNAcentral.